AACGAACGCUGGCGGCAGGCUUAACACAUGCAAGUCGAACGGGCAUAGCAAUAUGUCAGUGGCAGACGGGUGAGUAACACGUGGGAACCUUCCUAGAGGUACGGAACAACGCAGGGAAACUUGUGCUAAUACCGUAUACGCUCGAGAGAGGAAAGAUUUAUCGCCUUUAGACGGGCCCGCGUAGGAUUAGGUAGUUGGUGAGGUAACGGCUCACCAAGCCUACGAUCCUUAGCUGACCUGAGAGGAUGAUCAGCAACACUGGGACUGAGACACGGCCCAGGCUCCUACGUGAGGCAGCAGUGGGGAAUCUUGGACAAUGGGCGCAAGCCUGAUCCAGCCAUGCCGCGUGAGUGAAGAAGGCCUUCGGGUUGUAAGGCUCUCUUACCAGGGACGAUAAUGACGGUACCUGGAGAAUAAGCCCCGGCUAACUUCGUGCCAGCCGCCGCCGUAA
Molecule: ribosomal RNA, 451 nt
Filed under: uncultured bacterium
Lineage: Bacteria
Description: partial 16S ribosomal RNA
Rfam family: Bacterial small subunit ribosomal RNA
Source: RNAcentral